UGGGGACAUAAUGGGAUUCCAACCAGACAAUGGGCUAAUAACUUCAGCUCAUACCUUGGAUGUUUGAUACGGAGGAGUGAUAAUGUGAAUCCCUAUUACGAGGCUUGGGAGCAUCCAUUUCAUGUCCUGGAGAGUAUAUAUCGAGAUUGUUGGAGAUAUUUCAACAUCGAAGACAAUCCCGUAGGGUGGGAAUUUUUAUUUGGAUACCAGGGAAAGUUCAAGCAUUCUCUUCGGGAGUGGAGACAUGAGAUAAAGAAGAAAUGCUUUGAUUGUUUCACUCACAACUGGGAGAGGAUAUACAAGCGAGAUAAGAGGGUUGACCCUGAGCACUUAGCUGCACUUAUAAUAUUGUGGGGCCAAGAGCAGCACCAGGAAAAAUGUAGGAGAAAUAAACUUAAUCGAUGAAAAAAAGAUUACGAUCAUCAUACGGGGACUACUUCAUUUGCCCAGAUUGAG
This is a long non-coding RNA of Asparagus officinalis (garden asparagus), 456 nucleotides long. RefSeq lists it as uncharacterized. NCBI's taxonomy places the organism in Eukaryota, Viridiplantae, Streptophyta, Magnoliopsida, Asparagales, Asparagaceae. The record is from RefSeq and is a predicted model, not a curated record. The transcript has 3 exons.